CCUACGGGGGGCAGCAGUGAGGAAUAUUGGUCAAUGGACGAGAGUCUGAACCAGCCAAGUAGCGUGAAGGAUGACUGCCCUAUGGGUUGUAAACUUCUUUUAUAUGGGAAUAAAAUGUUCCACGUGUGGGAUUUUGUAUGUACCAUAUGAAUAAGGAUCGGCUAACUCCGUGCCAGCAGCCGCGGUAAUACGGAGGAUCCGAGCGUUAUCCGGAUUUAUUGGGUUUAAAGGGAGCGUAGGUGGAUUGUUAAGUCAGUUGUGAAAGUUUGCGGCUCAACCGUAAAAUUGCAGUUGAAACUGGCAGUCUUGAGUACAGUAGAGGUGGGCGGAAUUCGUGGUGUAGCGGUGAAAUGCUUAGAUAUCACGAAGAACUCCGAUUGUGAAGGCAGUUCACUGGACUGCAACUGACACUGAGGCUCGAAAGUGUGGGUAUCAAACAGGAUUAGAUACCCCAGUAGUC
RNAcentral lists this ribosomal RNA (460 nucleotides) under uncultured bacterium. Its description in RNAcentral is "partial 16S ribosomal RNA". It matches the Rfam family "Bacterial small subunit ribosomal RNA", at positions 338 to 795 of the family's 1533-position model. The record is from RNAcentral.